UACGUAGGGACCGAGCGUUGUCCGGAAUCAUUGGGCGUAAAGAGCGUGUAGGCGGCUUGCUAAGUCUUGCGUGAAAUCUCGGGGCUCAACCCCAAGCGGUCGUGGGAAACUGGCAGGCUAGAGUGCGGGAGAGGAGAAUGGAAUUCCUGGUGUAGCGGUGAAAUGCGCAGAUAUCAGGAAGAACACCCGUGGCGAAGGCGGUUCUCUGGAACGCAACUGACGCUGAGACGCGAAAGCGUGGGGAGCAAACAGG
This 253-nucleotide ribosomal RNA is filed under the name uncultured bacterium. RNAcentral describes it as "partial 16S ribosomal RNA". It matches the Rfam family "Bacterial small subunit ribosomal RNA", at positions 524 to 776 of the family's 1533-position model. The record is from RNAcentral.